RNAcentral lists this ribosomal RNA (207 nucleotides) under uncultured bacterium. RNAcentral's name for it is "partial 16S ribosomal RNA". It matches the Rfam family "Bacterial small subunit ribosomal RNA", at positions 568 to 774 of the family's 1533-position model. The record is from RNAcentral.
CUCGUAGGCGCCUCGUCGCGUCCGGUGUGAAAGUCCAUCGCUUAACGGUGGAUCUGCGCCGGGUACGGGCGGGCUGGAGUGCGGUAGGGGAGACUGGAAUUCCCGGUGUAACGGUGGAAUGUGUAGAUAUCGGGAAGAACACCGAUGGCGAAGGCAGGUCUCUGGGCCGUCACUGACGCUGAGGAGCGAAAGCGUGGGGAGCGAACA